This 668-nucleotide ribosomal RNA is filed under the name uncultured Asterophora. RNAcentral's name for it is "eukaryotic LSU rRNA". The stretch from base 244 to 397 matches the Rfam family "5.8S ribosomal RNA". The record is from RNAcentral. Lineage: Eukaryota; Fungi; Basidiomycota; Agaricomycetes; Agaricales; Lyophyllaceae.
CUUGGUCAUUUAGAGGAAGUAAAAGUCGUAACAAGGUUUCCGUAGGUGAACCUGCGGAAGGAUCAUUAGUGAAUAUUAGGGCGUCUACUUCGGUAGGGCCUGACCUCCACUUUCUAACUCUGUGCACUUAUUUGGCGGAAAAGGGAAUUAGUAAUCUGUCUAAUGACGAUUACGACUUCUUACUUUCUGCGGCUUACUUUAAACACUAGUCAAAGUAUGUAACGAAAUAUCGAAACAAAUAAAAACUUUCAACAACGGAUCUCUUGGCUCUCGCAUCGAUGAAGAACGCAGCGAAAUGUGAUAAGUAAUGUGAAUUGCAGAAUUCAGUGAAUCAUCGAAUCUUUGAACGCACCUUGCGCUCCCUAGUAUUCUGGGGAGCGUGUCUGUUUGAGUGUCAUGAACUCUUCAACCCACUGGUUUCUUGUAGACUAGCUGGUGUUUGGAUUUUGAACGUUGCUGGUCUUCGGACGUAGCUCGUUCGUAAUACAUUAGCAUCUCUAAUUCGAAUUCGGAUUGACUCAGUGUAAUAGACUAUUCGCUGAGGACACUUUUAUUAGUGGCCGAACAAGAUAAUUGUAGAAGCUUCAAACCUCUAUAGUCAAUUUUAGAUUAGACCUCAGAUCAGGCAGGAUUACCCGCUGAACUUAAGCAUAUCAAUAAGCGGAGGA